GUUGGGUACAGUGGCCCAUACCUGUAAUUCCAGUGACUUGGGAGGCUGAGGCAGGAGGAUCGUGAGUUCAAAGCAAGCCUCAGCAAAAGUGAGGUGCUAAGCAACUCAGUGAGACCCUGUUUCUA
RNAcentral lists this small RNA (125 nucleotides) under Marmota monax (woodchuck). Lineage: Eukaryota; Metazoa; Chordata; Mammalia; Rodentia; Sciuridae. The record is from RNAcentral.